RNAcentral lists this ribosomal RNA (1109 nucleotides) under Flaccisagitta enflata. Its description in RNAcentral is "large subunit ribosomal RNA". The record is from RNAcentral. Lineage: Eukaryota; Metazoa; Chaetognatha; Sagittoidea; Aphragmophora; Sagittidae.
ACCCCGUUGAGCUCCCCGAUCUUAAGUUUAUUGGUCCUGAUUAUUCUUGAGACCUUCUCUCAAGAGACAUUUCCUCCAUGCGGCGUGAUUUUCUUGACAAUAAGCCUUGAUCUUAUCAAUAUCUAACUACAACUCUUGAUCCUUCUAGUAAAGAUUACUACAAGGAUAAUUAGCAUUUAUAGUUAUAUAUAACAUAAUUCUGAAAAAAUUAAAGACCUGUUAAGUGAUUGUAAAUCUUUAAUUCAGCCAAGGAUUUUUUUCCUUUUUGUAUAACGGGUGGAAGACCGUUUUUUUGUAAUUUCAAAAUCUCGUUGUAUAGAGAAAUAUUUUCCUAUAAGUUACCUCGAACAAAAAAAACUGGUGUCGGAGCUUUUUAUGUAUAUAUCUUACGUAUUUUUCUGCUGAUAGGUAGAUUAAAAUUUUCUUUCUCAAAUCCUAGUCUUUUUCAGACUAUUUCCUUUUCAAAAAUCUUCUAAGCUCCUUUCAUUAUUUUCACACAAAAAAAUUGAUAUAUUCUCACUCAGUCAUUAUUCUUCGCCUGUUUAUCAAAAACAUUUCUUUUUCCUUAAAAGUAAAUCCUGCCCAUAAAGGAUUAUAAAGUAGCAUAAUUAAUAGCCACCUAAUUAGUGGAUCGUUUGAAUGGAUACACGAUAUAUACUUAUGAUUAUAUCAACAGAAGUUUAUUCAAAGUGAAAAUACCUUGACAAAAUUAAAAGACAAAAAGACCCUAAAAACUGUUUUUUUUGUUGGGGCAACAUAAAUUUUAACUGUUUUUCUUCCACUAUAGUAAUAAGCUACUUUAGGGAUAACAGCAUAAUAUUCUUUAUUUAUAUUAAAGAAGAGUAUGACCUCGAUGUUGAACUAAAAGACUACUCUUAUAAAUGAGAGAGCUUUAAGACUGUUCGUCUUUUUUCUUUUACGUGAUUUGAGUUCAAACCGGCGGGAGCCAGGUUGGUUUUAAUCUUUUAAAAGAUAAUUUUUUUUUAGUACGAAAGGAAAAAAAAGAAAUUGACCUCUCAAGUUAUAAUUAAUAUUUUCUUGUCGAGAAAAAGGAACUUCUAAUUCUGCCAACAAUAGUUUAUUAAAAAUAUUUUUUUUGUAAAAAAAAG